UACGAAGGGUGCAAACGUUGCUCGGAAUUAUUGGGCGUAAAGCGCACGUAGGCGGCUUAGCAAGUCGGAUGUGAAAUCCCUCGGCUCAACCAAGGAAGUGCAUCCGAAACUGCUGAGCUUGAGUACGAAUGAGGAUCGCGGAAUUCCCGGUGUAGAGGUGAAAUUCGUAGAUAUCGGGAGGAACACCAGUGGCGAAGGCGGCGAUCUGGGUCGAUACUGACGCUGAGGUGCGAAAGCGUGGGGAGCAAACAGG
This 253-nucleotide ribosomal RNA is filed under the name uncultured bacterium. RNAcentral describes it as "partial 16S ribosomal RNA". It matches the Rfam family "Bacterial small subunit ribosomal RNA", at positions 524 to 776 of the family's 1533-position model. The record is from RNAcentral.